CUGCAUUCAGAAGGUGUGUGUGUCUUAUGCUGAAGAAGAAUGGGGGUUUGCCUUGGGGCUUAAAUUAGCAUACAAAGGAAGAAAUGCCUUAAGAGGCAGAUCAGCAGGGUUAUUUAAAACAUAAACCAACCCAAGGAUGACAGGGCCUACAGGGCAGGAAGGUGUCUCAGUGCCAGUAGAUGGUGCUCUGCAAGCUGCCUUUGUGGGUGGGUUGAGCUCCGCACUGAUCUCAGUGUUGUGCAGCACCCCAAGACCUUUGUGACUUGUUGCUGCUCCAAUGCAGAGGUCGUUGUGACUUUGCUAGUAGCACGCCUAGGGGAGUUGUGCAGAAAGCAGAUGGAUUUUGUGGGUGUCUUUCGCUGAGUGUUGGCCUCCAGGACUCCUGACUUGACGUUCAUGCCAGGACAUUCAUUGCAAUUACCCUUGAUUUGAGAGCAGCCUCUAAAGGAAAUAAAAAUGACAGCUUUGGAGCAAUCCUGUUGUGCAGCAUGAUGGCUCUUGGCAGCAGGAGACCUAAUCACCCUCCUGAAGGCUGCUAUUCCAACGCGGGAUCUGAACAGACAAGUCUUCAAGGAACGGAAUCUGUAACAGCAUUAAAAGGCUAGGGAAUUGAAUCCCAGAGCCUCAGAGGGGCAAUUUCAAGUCCUCAGCCAACUGAAGUUGAACUGUACACCUAUGGCAAGCUAAUUCCCAGCCCCGAGCUUUACCUCAUCGUAGGUCACAGAAACGACAACUUCAGAAUACCUGGAGUGAUGAUGGAGUGAUGAUGUGACCUUUUGCACUGUGGGGGAGGCAUUCCGUGCUCCGAUGGCUGUGGGCUCCUGUUAGCUCCAAUCUCCCCCAUCAUCACCGAAGACCAUUUCUGUUGGCAGAGAAGAAAGGGAAGAAGCCCUGCCUGCUGCCUUCUCCUGAGCACACUGCCCGAGAGCCAACAGCCUGGACCACAGGAGGCUUCCAGAUGCUGGCAGAGAAGCAGGAAUCAUUACAACGGAGCAGAGCCCCACACAAAGACAUGGCAUGAUGUAAUGGACUGCUCUGAAGGGGAGCUCACUGUUCUUCAGAAGGAGAGCUGUUACAACACGGAGAAUAGAUCUGCGGGGCUGAUCCAGGUGUGCUGGUUCUGAUGGGAGCCGGGAGAGAAACGGAGCAGGAGCUCCUGACACCCGCCGGCAGGCGAUGAAUUAGUGCAGCACAGCUGGAGCUGCUUGAGGGCUGCAGAUGCAAAUCCCAGAGCUGUUCCUGCAUGUACCGGAGACAGUGCGGCCAGUCUGGGGGUUCCCAUAUAUAAGAUAUGUCGAGGUGCUAGAGCGAAGCUGAGAAAAAAUGUAUCUUUGAAGAGGCAAAGUGGACAUGUCAUUGAUGUCUAUGGUUAUUAAGAGGGGGAUGUGCAGAAGGGAGAACCAGACUGUCCUUGGAGAUGCACGGCGACAGGACGAGAGGCAACAAGCACAAAUGGCAGCAUGGAAAUUCUCAAUAGAGAGUGAAAAAUGCCCACCAUGAGAAUGUUCAAAUGGCAGACUGGGAGCCCAGAAAGGCUGUGAGACUCCAGUGUAUGAGAUGCUCAAAACUCAGCCGGACAUAGCAGCCUGGUAAGAUGGGCCUGCAUGGACUGGAAGCCAUGCUUUUAAUUGCAGCUGGUGUGACCUCUGUGUGACACUGGGGUGACAUUAUCCAAGCCUCUUAAGCAGAAGCCCGGUCCCAUCCCAGUUAAAUCUGCCAGGUGAGUCCACUUACUUCUAAAUGAUGUUGGUCUCUAUCAGCAUUGCAGGAUGCAUCUUGCUGCCACUGUCCUCUCCUAGGGGCAGUUUCAAGCACAACCCUUUGAAACACGAAGCAGGAGUGGGAUGCUAGGUAUGGCUCCCUAGAGAAAAGCCACUCCCAAAGCCAGCAGGAUGCCACAGCUCUACAGAGGGAUUCUGCUCACGGUGUCAUCACUUCCCAUGUGUGUCCCCUGUGGAUCCUGCUGUGACACAGAGGCGUCAGAUGAACCCGUGUGUCUCCUGCACACUCAACACCUGAACACGUCAGAUGUGCACUUCUGGAAGGAGCAGUGAGAGAUGCCAUCACUCACAGUCUGUCAGUGGCCGCUGCCCAAUUCCAGGCUCCCCACAGAGCCUGCACCCUACAAGAGGAGUGCUCAGCCCCUUCCCCAGCAUUCAGGUCUCAGUGUAACUCAAUCCCAGGGCUCUCCAUACCUACCCUCUGUCUGCAGAGUCCUUUUGCAGGCUUGCUGACAUUUAUAUACCAUUCUAAAUAUCACUGAAGCAUUGCUGGGAGAGAGGAAAUGUGGAAUGAAUGACACAGACUUGCAAGCAGCAAAGGGAAGAAGGUGGUGCCGAGUUUGAUUGUAGUAACUGUGCCAACACCCCCAAGGAACACAGCCUCCCACAGACACUGUGCCUUUUCCAGGUGAUGAAAUGAACUUCUUUAGCUUUAACCCUAAGUAAACGAUGGCCCAGCUCAUAAAACAUCCUGGAGCGCAGAACUGUUUACAGACUUUUAUUUGUCUUGAGCUUCGUGCUUUGUAAGAUUGGAGGUGAUUUCAUUACCUGGCUUUGUGCAAUGUCAUUCCGGCAACUGGAUCAUAAGUGCCACGUGGAUGUUUACAGUCAUGGGGAAAUACAUUAUGGCCAGAAAGGACGGCUGCAGAUUAAUAGAAAUAUUCUUCUGGAACACCCGAGGGCCAAUCCUGAGGAUCGAUCCUCUCUUGCUUCUUCUUAAUCUGAAUUCUACUUUGCUCUUAGCUGGAGCUGGAGAGAACCUCCCCUGCCCCUGGUGCUGCUUAGGGCAGGACCAAGCCGUCCCCUCCCUGUAAAGGGGCAUUGGAAUGGGGGAACAUUUAUUUCCCCCUGGAAUUAUUGCCCCUGCUUCAUGGUGGAUGGGAGCAGCAGUGAGGCACACCCAGCUUGGGUGUCACAUGAAACGGAGCUUGGUCAGCUUCCAGGAGUGGAAUUCAGCCUUUUCUUUUCCAAGAAAGGAUGCAAGCAAUUUGUCUUUAGAAUACUAUAAAGACGCCUCAAGAAUAUCAUAUAGUCUGCUAGUGCUGCAGAGAACCUCUUAAAAACUUAAUUGCCUGUGUCACCAAAUGAGGAGAGAGCAGUCCCUUGAAAGAUCCAGUGUUUUGAAAACAAGCAGUCAGUUCUAAAUACUUUCAAAUGGUACAUGCUUCUUUACUCCUGCUGACAAUAAGAGUAAUUGCUGAGCACAGGAUAAAGGAGAUUGUCUGAAAUGUUUUAUUUUCUUGUUGCAUCCUUUUUUUUUUUUUUCCUACAAUGCAAAAAGACAGAGGCGUCCUUGGGCUGCAACCAGUCAGACAGAGAGGUUUCCAAGAGGCAGGUGAGAGGCAGAGAUCUCAACAGCAAAGUGACUCUCCUGGUUUGAGAGCACCUCCGCUCUCACCACUCGUGCUGUGAGUGCUGCCUGCAGGGAUGACAGAUCAGGACGUUUCCUCCCAUCAUUUACUCACUGCACUGCCUCACUAACAUCUCUAUUAAUUCUGGGAUACAGAAGACCUCGAGCAUCUCCGUUUGCUCACUCACCUCUGACUUUUACUGUGGCCAUAGUGUUCAGUGUGCGUGGUUCCAUCACCCGGCCUGCUCAGAGCUGAUGUCAGUGUCUGCCAUCACUCUGUUUGCCCAUUAAGGACUUGUUGGCUCCCUGCAUUUUCCUGUGUGGCCCACGGUGCAGCGUAGUGCACUGGAAAGCAAUAUCCAUUCUAACGUGAUGUGACAUGGGAAACCUCAGAGGAAGCACAGGCUUAUGCUGGCUGUGCUGCUGCACAGUCAAUAGUCCUCCUUUAUGCCUGCCAUUAAAGCAGGAGCAAACAGUUAUGAUCUAUGGCUUGACUUUUUAUCUAUUUAUCUUUUUAUCUUUUUACCUUUUGAUCUAUAGCUUCUUUUUAUUUAUGCAAUCACCACGUUUUGUUUUGGGUUGUUAUUUUUUGUUGUUGUUUUUCCUUGGUAAGCAAGUAGAUAUGCAAAGCACAGCAGAUGUCCCGAACUUGAAGAGCCAAGGGAACAUUUCUUCUUGGCCCUUAGAUGAAAUGGACUGGGCUGUGCUCCAGGAAAUAGGAAUGAUUAAUCCAUCAUUGAACAUGAACUUAAACGAGCUAAAAUUGGGCAUUUUAGUUCUGAUGUAUGCGCUAAGUGAAAGAAUCAUUCAGAGGAUAAAAGUAAUGGCUUUGGGACGGUGUUGUAAGACAGAGCGGCUCUGCAGGAGCAGGAGGGUGAGAGCAGCAGGGCUGAGUGCACGCUACUAUGCUUCCUGAGUGCAGGAAUGGGAACUGCUGCAUGACCCCAACAGUCUGCAGUGUGGGUUCAGUGCUGUGACACACACUGCCUGCUCCAGCCCCAGCUCGGUGGCUUUAGGCUUAGGAUGUGCUCCAGCUGCCAGAGUGAGUCCUUCCUUUCGUUAUCCGCUGUUCUAGUUGUGCCAUUAGCCACAAUUACACCCUUAAGCCAGAGACGGCAAUUGAUAUUUUAUCAUUGGGAUUUUUUUGCCGUGGCUUUUGUACCCAUCUGGAGUGAACAAACUAUUACAAGUUUCAUCCAAUUAUGCUAAGUGUGGUUGGACACACUGCGCCCAGCACAAUCUCUUUUCAAUGGAGAGAGGGGCAGUCCGUUAUCAGCUCGAGGCACCAUCAUUCAUUAAGACAUCAUUUGCCUCUCGCCAGCAGAGCCGAAGCAGCAAAUCUGUAGGAUGUCAUAUUAAGGUGUGAUAAUGAAAGAUAGGCAGAACGGGAUUAACAAAGGGGUCCUCUCCACAUUAUACCUUCCUCUGACUACUUUGCUCAGUCCCAGCCUUUUAUGAUCUCCUAAGGGAACAUUUCAAAGGGGUGCGUGGAAGUUGGGCCCGCAAAUCCAAUUAAUUGCAGAUGUGGUUUGUGCCUAGAAUCACCACGCACCCCUUCAAAAGCAGCUGCCUGAGUGCAGCAGGACGUUGAAUGGAAAAUAUUGGGCAUACAGUGCUGGAGAAGGGCUGAAGUGGUCACCAAAUCUAGCUCCAAACCUGGCAGCAGGGAUGCUAUGAGGGGAAAAGUCCCUAUGUCUGUCCCUUCUUUCCUUCUUCCUGAGGAGCAGCCACUACCUGUGGCACUGGGGACUGGAAAUGCAGCUGGGAAUCAGCUAGCCCAAGAAAUCACCUGCACAAUCCUACACAAGCCAUCCCCUGGAGAGAAUGAACCUGGUGCCCAAACACACGGAGGGAACCUUAUUUCUAUCUAAUUUCUGCACUUAUAUGGCUUUUAUCCAAUUAUCAGACUUUUUACCAUCUAUAAUGUGUUCUUCUUCCCAGCAUACAGCCAAUUGCCCAGAAGGCAACUGCAUUGCCCGUGGAUGCAGUGAUAUGAUCAAGUUCACCCAAAGUCUGUGUCAGAGAAAGGAGCUGAGCCCAGGGCUCAUGCAGCAGGGACCAACCAUCACAGCAUGGGGCCUGGAUGCACUUCAUGGAAAAGGAUAUAGUGGUUGAAAAAGGGCCCAGUGUAAAUCCUGCCCUGCCUCUGCCAGUGCUGAGAUCAGCAGGUUUUAAGUCUAAUUCCAGCAGAAGAUUUCUGCCUGUGCCAGAUGUGGUUUUCAGAUGCUGCACUGUGGCUUUGCUGCAUUCCUGGCCAACUGCAGCCAAGCAGACCCCUGGAGCCUUGCCAGAGAGGGAGAAGGUAAGCAAGAUCCCAAGGUGCCCCUCUCAACUGGAUGAUGCAUUUCAGCUUUGCUUCCAAGCCUUCCAGAAGGCACCAGCCCCUCUGCCCAGGUAUUAUUCUUGGGCGCUCUCAAAAUAGCUGCCUUUGCCUGGGAAUCAGAGAGGAGAGCUCAGUGAGUCCCCCUGAAUCUCCAGCUGCAGUAAUAUGUUGUUAUGAACCUCUACCAGAGCACUCGUAGUGCAGCUAGAGAGUCUGUCUGACAUUGCCUCCAGUGACCUUUUCGCUAUAGUCCAAGUGCCGUGGAGCUGGUGUUUCAAGAGGAAUUCAAAUGGAAUUUACUCAGGCAGAAAGGAUUGGCCUGGGGAUAGCCCUUCUACAGCUUCUGGUUCUCCUUGUCAUUCUCAUGGAAAUUGCAAUUCUUUAUGCAUGGUGCUUCUUCCUGCACCGCAGCAAAUGCGUCCCUUCAAGCAGCAGGCUGCUAACAGAGGGGCUCCAAAAUGAAGGCAUAACCCAUUACAAGGUCACAACGUGGCCAUGAGCCCUGACACCAAAACUGGCUGGUGGACAUCAGGCACCCGCCUCGAGUUCCAGGAUGCAGCUUGUUUACGUGGGAUGCGAGCAGCAGGGAUUUGUGUAAGCUUCGGGGCAUGGGGGAUUUGACGCAGGGCUCUGUAGGGCAGGGGGCAGCGGGGCAGCUGGUUGGUGCUCAGAGCUGAUGGCAAAGGGCUGAGUCCCUGCUUGGUGUGGGCAAAGUGUGUGCUGGGGGAGCAUCACAUUUCUUCAUGCGCUUUUCUGGCGCGGUGCGAUUAUUUCACACGUGUUUGUAUGAGAGCUGCUUUAAAAUGUAAUUUCUUUGAUUAAUUUGGUGUCUGUAUUUUCACUGUUUUGUUCGCUCCAAUUUAUGACAAAAUUGAACAAAGUGGGUAACAAAAUAUAGCCCUGUCAGGCUCCUGUCUUCACGGAUAUAAAGAAAAAUGUGAAACUGUCAGGCACACAAAUGUGCCAAACCCCAAGGAAAAUUAUUACAUUCUGCUUGACAUUUACUUUAAUUUUACAAAAUUCUGUAAUACCAUUAUAAAUAAUAAUAAUAAAAAGCAGCAUGGAAAUAUU
RNAcentral lists this long non-coding RNA (6745 nucleotides) under Gallus gallus (chicken). RNAcentral's name for it is "lncRNA (ENSGALG00010029870.1)". The record is from RNAcentral. Lineage: Eukaryota; Metazoa; Chordata; Aves; Galliformes; Phasianidae.